Molecule: ribosomal RNA, 253 nt
Filed under: uncultured bacterium
Lineage: Bacteria
Description: partial 16S ribosomal RNA
Rfam family: Bacterial small subunit ribosomal RNA
Source: RNAcentral
UACAGAGGGUGCGAGCGUUAAUCGGAAUUACUGGGCGUAAAGCGCACGUAGGUGGCGACGUAAGUCGGGUGUGAAAGCCCCGGGCUCAACCUGGGAAUUGCAUUCGAGACUGCAUUGCUGGAGUACGGAAGAGGAACGCGGAAUUCCAGGUGUAGCGGUGAAAUGCGUAGAUAUCUGGAGGAACACCGGUGGCGAAGGCGGCGUUCUGGACUGCAACUGACACUGAGGAACGAAAGCCAGGGGAGCAAACGGG